This 497-nucleotide ribosomal RNA is filed under the name uncultured bacterium. Its description in RNAcentral is "partial 16S ribosomal RNA". It matches the Rfam family "Bacterial small subunit ribosomal RNA", at positions 28 to 507 of the family's 1533-position model. The record is from RNAcentral.
GAUGAACGCUGGCGGCGUGCCUAAUACAUGCAAGUCGAGCGAACGGACGAGAAGCUUGCUUCUCUGAUGUUAGCGGCGGACGGGUGAGUAACACGUGGAUAACCUACCUAUCAGACUGGGAUAACUUCGGGAAACCGGAGCUACUACCGGAUAAUAUUUUGAACCGCUUGGUUCAAAAGUGAAAGACGGUCUUGCUGUCACUUAUAGAUGGAUCCGCGCUGCAUUAGCUAGUUGGUAAGGUAACGGCUUACCAAGGCAACGAUGCAUAGCCGACCUGAGAGGGUGGUCGGCCACACUGGAACUGAGACACGGUCCAGACGCCUACGGGAGGCAGCAGUAGGGAAUCUUCCGCAAUGGGCGAAAGCCUGACGGUGCAACGCCGCGUGGGUGAGGAUGGUCUUCGGAUCGUAGAACUCUGUUAUUAGGGAAGAACAUAUGUGUAAGUAACUGUGCACAUCUUGACGGUACCUAAUCAGAAAGCCACGGCUAACUACGUG